AAAUUGAAGAGUUUGAUCAUGGCUCAGAUUGAACGCUGGCGGCAGGCCUAACACAUGCAAGUCGAACGGUAACAGGAAACAGCUUGCUGUUUCGCUGACGAGUGGCGGACGGGUGAGUAAUGUCUGGGAAACUGCCUGAUGGAGGGGGAUAACUACUGGAAACGGUAGCUAAUACCGCAUAACGUCGCAAGACCAAAGAGGGGGACCCUCGGGCCUCUUGCCAUCGGAUGUGCCCAGAUGGGAUUAGCUUGUUGGUGGGGUAACGGCUCACCAAGGCGACGAUCCCUAGCUGGUCUGAGAGGAUGACCAGCCACACUGGAACUGAGACACGGUCCAGACUCCUACGGGAGGCAGCAGUGGGGAAU
RNAcentral lists this ribosomal RNA (365 nucleotides) under Escherichia coli. RNAcentral describes it as "bacterial SSU rRNA". It matches the Rfam family "Bacterial small subunit ribosomal RNA", at positions 1 to 362 of the family's 1533-position model. The record is from RNAcentral. Lineage: Bacteria; Pseudomonadati; Pseudomonadota; Gammaproteobacteria; Enterobacterales; Enterobacteriaceae.